This 74-nucleotide transfer RNA is filed under the name Candidatus Taylorbacteria bacterium CG11_big_fil_rev_8_21_14_0_20_46_11. RNAcentral describes it as "tRNA-Gly". It matches the Rfam family "tRNA". From Rfam's summary of the family: Transfer RNA (tRNA) molecules are approximately 80 nucleotides in length. Their secondary structure includes four short double-helical elements and three loops (D, anti-codon, and T loops). Further hydrogen bonds mediate the characteristic L-shaped molecular structure. tRNAs have two regions of fundamental functional importance: the anti-codon, which is responsible for specific mRNA codon recognition, and the 3' end, to which the tRNAs corresponding amino acid is attached (by aminoacyl-tRNA synthetases). tRNAs cope with the degeneracy of the genetic code in two manners: having more than one tRNA (with a specific anti-codon) for a particular amino acid; and 'wobble' base-pairing, i.e. permitting non-standard base-pairing at the 3rd anti-codon position. Lineage: Bacteria; Candidatus Tayloriibacteriota. The record is from RNAcentral.
GCGGGUAUAGUUUAGUGGUAUGACGCAUCCUUGCCAAGGAUGAGAUCGGAGUUCGAUUCUCCGUACCCGCACAA